CCUACGGGGUGCAGCAGUGAGGAAUAUUGGUCAAUGGACGCAAGUCUGAACCAGCCAUGCCGCGUGCAGGAAGACGGCUCUAUGAGUUGUAAACUGCUUUUGUACGAGGGUAAACGCAGAUACGCGUAUCUGUCUGAAAGUAUCGUACGAAAAAGGAUCGGCUAACUCCGUGCCAGCAGCCGCGGUAAUACGGAGGAUUCAAGCGUUAUCCGGAUUUAUUGGGUUUAAAGGGUGCGUAGGCGGUCGGAUAAGUUAGCGGUGAAAUCCCGAGGCUCAACUUCGGAAUUGCCUCUGAUACUGUUCGGCUAGAGAGUAGUUGCGGUAGGCGGAAUGUAUGGUGUAGCGGUGAAAUGCUUAGAGAUCAUACAGAACACCGAUUGCGAAGGCAGCUUACCAAGCUACUUCUGACGUUGAGGCACGAAAGCGUGGGGAGCGAACAGGAUUAGAUACCCCUGUAGUC
Molecule: ribosomal RNA, 460 nt
Filed under: uncultured bacterium
Lineage: Bacteria
Description: partial 16S ribosomal RNA
Rfam family: Bacterial small subunit ribosomal RNA
Source: RNAcentral